GGCCUAACACAUGCAAGUCGAACGACGCUAGGGGCAACUCUAGUGAGUGGCGUACGGGUGAGUAAUGCAUCGGAACGUGUCCUCUUGUGGGGGAUAACCAGUCGAAAGAUUGGCUAAUACCGCAUGAGCUCGAGAGAGGAAAGCGGGGGAUCCGCAAGGACCUCGCGCGAGAGGAGCGGCCGAUGCCCGAUUAGCUAGUUGGUGGGGUAAAAGCUCACCAAGGCGACGAUCGGUAGCUGGUCUGAGAGGACGACCAGCCACACUGGGACUGAGACACGGCCCAGACUCCUACGGGAGGCAGCAGUGGGGAAUUUUGGACAAUGGGGGCAACCCUGAUCCAGCCAUGCCGCGUGUGUGAAGAAGGCCUUCGGGUUGUAAAGCACUUUCGGACGGAACGAAAUCGCGCGGGUUAACAGCCCGCGUGGAUGACGGUACCGUAAGAAGAAGCAC
Molecule: ribosomal RNA, 450 nt
Filed under: uncultured beta proteobacterium
Lineage: Bacteria; Pseudomonadati; Pseudomonadota; Betaproteobacteria
Description: bacterial SSU rRNA
Rfam family: Bacterial small subunit ribosomal RNA
Source: RNAcentral